UAAGGAACACCACCAGUGAGAAGGACCACUAGUGGUCUGUAGACACGAGAUGCACGAAAGCGUGAGCAGACAACAGAUAGACACUGUAGUACACACGUAAAAGAUGUCGAAUAGCCGUGUGGAGCGUCAGAUCCUGGUGCCGCAGCUAACGCAUUAAGUAUUCCGCCUGGGGAGUACGCACGCAAGUGUUAAAACUCAAAGGAAUUGACGGGGACCCGCACAAGCAGCGGAGCAUGUGGUUUAAUUCGAAGCAACGCGAAGAACCUUACCAGGUCUUGACAUCCAGAGAACGUUCCAGAGAUGGAUUGUGUCCUUCGGGACAUGGGAGACAGGUGGUGCAUGGCUGUCGUCAGCUCGUGUCGUGAGAUGUUGGGUUAAGUCCCGCAACGAGCGCAACCCUUGUCUUUAGUUGCCAACAGGUCAAGGUGGGCACUCUAAACAGACUGCCGGGGACAACCCGGAGGAAGGUGGGGAUGACGUCAAAUCAUCAUGCCCCUUAUGAUCUGGGCUACACACGUGCUACAAUGGUCGGUACAAAGGGCAGCCAAGGAGUAAUGUGGAGCGAAUCCUAUAAAGCCGAUCCCAGUUCGGAUUGCAGUCUGAAACUCGCCCACAUGAAGUUGGAGUUGCUAGAAUCGCGAAUCAGAAUGUCACGGUGAAUACGUUCCCGGGUCCUUGUACACACCGCCCGUCACACCAUGAAGUUGGGGGCGCCAGAGCCAGUAGUCCAACCGCAAGGGGGAAGGUGUCGAAGGUGAUGACUAAUGACUGGGGUGAAGUCGUAACAAGGUAGCCGAUAAGGCGAAUCGCGCCGCUC
This 817-nucleotide ribosomal RNA is filed under the name bacterium B4C1-4. Its description in RNAcentral is "bacterial SSU rRNA". It matches the Rfam family "Bacterial small subunit ribosomal RNA", at positions 700 to 1533 of the family's 1533-position model. The record is from RNAcentral.